This 82-nucleotide transfer RNA is filed under the name Candidatus Pseudomonas adelgestsugas. RNAcentral describes it as "tRNA-Leu". It matches the Rfam family "tRNA". Rfam says of the family: Transfer RNA (tRNA) molecules are approximately 80 nucleotides in length. Their secondary structure includes four short double-helical elements and three loops (D, anti-codon, and T loops). Lineage: Bacteria; Pseudomonadati; Pseudomonadota; Gammaproteobacteria; Pseudomonadales; Pseudomonadaceae. The record is from RNAcentral.
GCCCUGAUGGCGGAACCGGUAGACGCGGCGGAUUCAAAAUCCGCUUCUGAAGAGAGUGGGAGUUCAAGUCUCCCUCAGGGCA